RNAcentral lists this ribosomal RNA (401 nucleotides) under uncultured bacterium. RNAcentral's name for it is "bacterial SSU rRNA". It matches the Rfam family "Bacterial small subunit ribosomal RNA", at positions 85 to 489 of the family's 1533-position model. The record is from RNAcentral.
AUGCUGACGAGCGGCGGACGGGUGAGUAAUGCAUAGGAAUCUGCCCAGUAGUGGGGGAUAACCUGGGGAAACCCAGGCUAAUACCGCAUACGCCCUACGGGGGAAAGCAGGGGAUCUUCGGACCUUGCGCUAUCGGAUGAGCCUAUGUCGGAUUAGCUAGUUGGUAGGGUAACGGCCUACCAAGGCGACGAUCCGUAGCUGGUCUGAGAGGAUGAUCAGCCACAUCGGGACUGAGACACGGCCCGAACUCCUACGGGAGGCAGCAGUGGGGAAUAUUGGACAAUGGGAGCAACCCUGAUCCAGCCAUGCCGCGUGUGUGAAGAAGGCCUUCGGGUUGUAAAGCACUUUCAGCGAGGAAGAAGGCCUGGUGGCCAAUACCCAUCAGAAGACACACUUCAGAG